RNAcentral lists this ribosomal RNA (448 nucleotides) under uncultured bacterium. RNAcentral's name for it is "bacterial SSU rRNA". It matches the Rfam family "Bacterial small subunit ribosomal RNA", at positions 37 to 497 of the family's 1533-position model. The record is from RNAcentral.
ACGUGGCGGCGUGCCUAACCAUGCAAGUCGAACGAGAAAGCGGGGGCAACUCCGUGAGUAAAGUGGCGACCGGGUGAGUAACACGUGACUAACCUACCCUACGGUGUGGAAUAACUCCGGGAAACCGGGGCUAAUACCGCAUAAUAUCGUCGUUUCGAAAGAAGUGGCGAUCAAAGCAGCAAUGCGCCAAAGGAGGGGGUCGCGGCUGAUUAGCUAGUUGGCGGGGUAACGGCCCACCAAGGCCAAGAUCGGUAGCCGGCCUGAGAGGGCGCACGGCCACACUGGAACUGAAACACGGUCCAGACUCCUACGGGAGGCAGCAGUGGGGAAUUUUGCGCAAUGGGGGAAACCCUGACGCAGCAACGCCGCGUGGAGGAUGAAGCCCCUUGGGGCGUAAACUCCUUUCGACCAAGACGAUAAUGACGGUACUGGUGGAAGAAGCACCGGC